AUACGGAGGGUGCAAGCGUUACUCGGAAUCACUGGGCGUAAAGCGCGCGCAGGCGGCUAUUUAAGUUGGAUGUGAAAGCCUAUGGCUCAACCAUAGAACUGCAUCCAAAACUAUUUAGCUAGAGUGUGGGAGAGGAAGAUGGAAUUAGUUGUGUAGGGGUAAAAUCCGUAGAGAUACCUAGGAAUACCAAAAGCGAAGGCAAUCUUCUGGAACACUACUGAAGCUGAGGCGCGAAAGCGUGGGGAGCAAACAGGAUUAGAAACCCUAGUAGUCC
Molecule: ribosomal RNA, 274 nt
Filed under: uncultured bacterium
Lineage: Bacteria
Description: partial 16S ribosomal RNA
Rfam family: Bacterial small subunit ribosomal RNA
Source: RNAcentral